UACGGGGGGUGCGAGCGUUGUCCGGAAUCACUGGGCGUAAAGGGCGCGUAGGUGGUCUGAUAAGGGUGUGGUGAAAGCCCGGGGCUCAACCCCGGGUCGGCCGUGCCGACUGUUAGACUAGAGUGCUGUAGGGGCAGGCGGAAUUCCGGGUGUAGCGGUGAAAUGCGCAGAUAUCAGGAGGAACACCGGUGGCGAAGGCGGAUCUCUGGGCCUUACCUGACGCUCAGGUGCGAAAGCUAGGGGAGCGAACAGG
This 253-nucleotide ribosomal RNA is filed under the name uncultured bacterium. RNAcentral's name for it is "partial 16S ribosomal RNA". It matches the Rfam family "Bacterial small subunit ribosomal RNA", at positions 524 to 776 of the family's 1533-position model. The record is from RNAcentral.